UCUCUCCGAAUUCUUGAAUUCUUCAGCCCGGGCCGCCGCUGCCCUCCUGGUCCCUCCGGGCCGCACGCGCGGCAGGGAGCGAGCAGCAUCCGGUCCCUUCCGGAGCGCGCAGGCGGCGCCUUCUCAGCGUGCGCCCGGGGUGGGUCGACAGCGACCGGGACGGGAGGCGGGAGCGUUCCCGGAGGCUGCGGAGAGCCCCGCUUUGUCUCAAGGGACCGCUGGGAAGUUUCCUCCUUUUCCCGCCCGCAUCCCUCUCCUUCCAGGUGCUCCAGGAAGUCGCCGGAGCUGAAGGUGAAGAAACUGAGGCCCAGAAAGGUGCUAGCAGCAAUAGUGCAUGGCUUGCCAAGCGGUACCAUGUCCACACCCGGGAUCCGAACCGGCGAACCCCAAGCUGCCAAAGUGGAACGUGUGCACUUAACCGCUGCACCACCAGGCCGGCCCCAAGAUGAGUUUUGAUCACUGUAUACUAUUGUAUAACACCACCACAGUCAAGAUAUAGGCCAUUUCCAUCAUCCCAAAAAGUUCCCUUGUGCCCCUUUGCAGUCAAUCACUUCCUUCCACUCCAAGCUCUUGGCAGCCACUGAUCUGUUUUCUAUCCCUAUAGUUUUGCCUCU
Molecule: long non-coding RNA, 614 nt
Filed under: Equus asinus (donkey)
Lineage: Eukaryota; Metazoa; Chordata; Mammalia; Perissodactyla; Equidae
Description: lncRNA (ENSEASG00005030731.1)
Source: RNAcentral